RNAcentral lists this ribosomal RNA (253 nucleotides) under uncultured bacterium. RNAcentral's name for it is "partial 16S ribosomal RNA". It matches the Rfam family "Bacterial small subunit ribosomal RNA", at positions 524 to 776 of the family's 1533-position model. The record is from RNAcentral.
UACAGAGGGUGCGAGCGUUGUCCGGAAUCACUGGGCGUAAAGCGCGCGCAGGCGGCUAUCCAAGUCAGUGGUGAAAGCCCGGAGCUCAACUCCGGAACUGCCAUUGAAACUGUUUAGCUUGAGGACGAGAGAGGUUAGUGGAAUUCCCAGUGUAGAGGUGAAAUUCGUAGAUAUUGGGAAGAACACCAGUGGCGAAGGCGGCUAACUGGUCCAGAUCUGACGCUGAGGUGCGAAAGCGUGGGGAGCGAACAGG